UUGGCCGGGCGACGGUUGUCCCGGUUUAAGCGUGUAGGUGUGUGUUCCAGGUAAAUCCGGUUCACUUUAACACUGAGGCGUGACGACGAGGCACUACGGUGCUGAAGCAACAAAUGCCCUGCUUCCAGGAAAAGCCUCUAAGCAUCAGGUAACAUCAAAUCGUACCCCAAACCGACACAGGUGGUCAGGUAGAGAAUACCAAGGCGCUUGAGAGAACUCGGGUGAAGGAACUAGGCAAAAUGGUGCCGUAACUUCGGGAGAAGGCACGCUGACACGUAGGUGAAGUGAUUUACUCAUGGAGCUGAAGUCAGUCGAAGAUACCAGCUGGCUGCAACUGUUUAUUAAAAACACAGCACUGUGCAAACACGAAAGUGGACGUAUACGGUGUGACGCCUGCCCGGUGCCGGAAGGUUAAUUGAUGGGGUCAGCGCAAGCGAAGCUCCUGAUCGAAGCCCCGGUAAACGGCGGCCGUAACUAUAACGGUCCUAAGGUAGCGAAAUUCCUUGUCGGGUAAGUUCCGACCUGCACGAAUGGCGUAAUGAUGGCCAGGCUGUCUCCACCCGAGACUCAGUGAAAUUGAACUCGCUGUGAAGAUGCAGUGUACCCGCGGCAAGACGGAAAGACCCCGUGAACCUUUACUAUAGCUUGACACUGAACAUUGAGCCUUGAUGUGUAGGAUAGGUGGGAGGCUUUGAAGUGUGGACGCCAGUCUGCAUGGAGCCGACCUUGAAAUACCACCCUUUAAUGUUUGAUGUUCUAACGUGGACCCGUAAUCCGGGUUGCGGACAGUGUCUGGUGGGUAGUUUGACUGGGGCGGUCUCCUCCUAAAGAGUAACGGAGGAGCACGAAGGUUGGCUAAUCCUGGUCGGACAUCAGGAGGUUAGUGCAAUGGCAUAAGCCAGCUUGACUGCGAGCGUGACGGCGCGAGCAGGUGCGAAAGCAGGUCAUAGUGAUCCGGUGGUUCUGAAUGGAAGGGCCAUCGCUCAACGGAUAAAAGGUACUCCGGGGAUAACAGGCUGAUACCGCCCAAGAGUUCAUAUCGACGGCGGUGUUUGGCACCUCGAUGUCGGCUCAUCACAUCCUGGGGCUGAAGUAGGUCCCAAGGGUAUGGCUGUUCGCCAUUUAAAGUGGUACGCGAGCUGGGUUUAGAACGUCGUGAGACAGUUCGGUCCCUAUCUGCCGUGGGCGCUGGAGAACUGAGGGGGGCUGCUCCUAGUACGAGAGGACCGGAGUGGACGCAUCACUGGUGUUCGGGUUGUCAUGCCAAUGGCACUGCCCGGUAGCUAAAUGCGGAAGAGAUAAGUGCUGAAAGCAUCUAAGCACGAAACUUGCCCCGAGAUGAGUUCUCCCUGAGACUUAGAGUCUCCUGAAGGAACGUUGAAGACGACGACGUUGAUAGGCCGGGUGUGUAAGCGCAGCGAUGCGUUGAGCUAACCGGUACUAAUGAACCGUGAGGCUUAACCUU
Molecule: ribosomal RNA, 1465 nt
Filed under: Salmonella enterica subsp. enterica serovar Agona str. 18.H.07
Lineage: Bacteria; Pseudomonadati; Pseudomonadota; Gammaproteobacteria; Enterobacterales; Enterobacteriaceae
Description: bacterial LSU rRNA
Rfam family: Bacterial large subunit ribosomal RNA
Source: RNAcentral